UGUCUGCCGUGUGGGUGUUGAUCGACAGCUGUGAUUGACAGUUGGCUCACCUGCUGCUCCCCCCGGCUCCGGGACUCCAGGAAUAUUGUGAGAAUGAUAGGCAACACCCCACACUUCCUAUUUGAAGGUCCUGGCUCCAAAUGGAAAACAUGGCGCCGACUGUAAGCUGCAACUCCGGGCUUCAAACCAGCUACAAUGCAAACCAAUGGGUGAGACACCGCACUGACCCUGCAGAGAGACAGACUGCUGUGACGUCUGUCACUAUGUCGACUUUACAGCCCCAUGUGCUAGAAGACAAAUGGGUAUAAGUAUACCCGCUACACUCCCUGGCAUGAUGGGAUACAGUGCCAGGCAUACCUGUCUGGUCCACAACUAGACUGCCUCUACUGAAGGACAAGAUGGUGGCGUUUAAAAGCACUGCUAUCCGUGUACCGAGACUGAGACGCUGAUAUUUCACACUGUCUUGAUUUCCUCCCAGGCUAUAUGAUGCCGGGCUGGCAGCCAUGUUGGAGCUGUAACCGCAGAGGGAGAUAAGUGUCGUGACUCCAGGGUUUCAUUACCUCCCGCACAGUUUAGCACUAGAUAGUAUUAGCUGUUAAUGGCCCUUCUAACUAAAAGGGGUGAUUCAGACAGACAGCAUUCAGCCCAUAAAGCCGACGCGGAAAGCAUCUUACUAAAUAAGGAUACACUCUUAAAACACAAGGUGUCACUUUCAGAUAGCAUGCAUUUGUGUCACUGUCUAAAAGUAUUAUAUGUUUAAUAGAAACAUGCACUGAUACUACAAGUUAUUAAUGUUUUGUUGAGAAAUAAGUUUCAAUUACAAAAAUAACAAAAUAAUGUUUGCUAUCAAGAUAUUACACAACACCAGGGAGAUGACUUUUAUUUCAGCACUGUGCAAAUUUAGUCUAAUGACAACUUUAAGCUAAAGUUAAAUUUGGGAUUUGUAAAUCUUUACUUAAUAAAUGUCGGUAUCAUCUUACCGACUCUAUGUAUUUUAGUCAUGUAAUCAAGCUUAUUUCAACUGUCAAAUGAUCAUUUUAAGCCAUCAAGCUAACAGCUUCAUUUGUAGUCCUAUAUAUGAAAACAAGCCAUCAACACAAGUAAACUAAUAUUAGCUUUAAGAGUCGCCUUGAUAGUCAUAAGAUGAAAGCUGUACCUCGGCUCAUCUACAAGUAUGUAACAAGAUAAGCAAGAUUCGAUUACAAGGAAUCUAAAUUUAGCUGGGCAACUUAUCAAAUCAAAUCAAAAAAAAAAAAGAUGUACAAUCGGAGUUUGGGGUUGCUAAGAUCCAUUAUUUAAUAAAAGAGCCCCGACGUAAUCUAAAGUGUAUCCAAGAAAUUUGCGUCUGUGCACUGAUGUUCCUGAAAUUAGAUCUGUCUUAUUUUCUUUUUAUUCAUAUGCCUAACAUGCAUGUGUGAAUAAAUAUAUGACAUAAUUU
Thunnus maccoyii (southern bluefin tuna) is the source of this 1438-nucleotide long non-coding RNA. RefSeq lists it as uncharacterized. The transcript is spliced from 3 exons. The record is from RefSeq and is a predicted model, not a curated record. Lineage: Eukaryota; Metazoa; Chordata; Actinopteri; Scombriformes; Scombridae.